RNAcentral lists this ribosomal RNA (253 nucleotides) under uncultured bacterium. RNAcentral describes it as "partial 16S ribosomal RNA". It matches the Rfam family "Bacterial small subunit ribosomal RNA", at positions 524 to 776 of the family's 1533-position model. The record is from RNAcentral.
UACGAGGGGGGCGAGCGUUGUUCGGAAUUAUUGGGCGUAAAGGGUGCGUAGGCGGUUUGGUAAGUCUCGUGUGAAAUCUCCGGGCUCAACUCGGAGCCUGCACGAGAAACUGCCGGGCUUGAGUGUGGGAGAGGUGAGUGGAAUUCCUGGUGUAGCGGUGAAAUGCGUAGAUAUCAGGAGGAACACCUGCGGUGUAGACGGCUUACUGGACCGUAACUGACGCUGAGGCACGAAAGCGUGGGUAGCAAACAGG